Long non-coding RNA from Megalops cyprinoides (Indo-Pacific tarpon), 261 nucleotides. RefSeq lists it as uncharacterized. Lineage: Eukaryota; Metazoa; Chordata; Actinopteri; Elopiformes; Megalopidae. The record is from RefSeq and is a predicted model, not a curated record. The transcript has 3 exons.
AAGCCCCUAUCCUCUCCAUGUUGCAUGAAACCCGCUGGUAGGGAAUGGGCGCAGAAGGCAGCCAUGAUUCCCGGAGUUCAGAGGCAGCGUUCCGACCAGAUCCUGGUUCCAUUUAGCUCAUCACCUGCCACUCAGAAGGAUACAGCUGAGCACUGGCCAGAGCUUCAGUAAACCAACCGAGAGAGAGAGACAGCCAGCCAGCCAAUCCGGCCCCAAGCGGAACAAGCAGAAACAGCGAUGGGUUCCAUUUAACCCCUAAAU